RNAcentral lists this ribosomal RNA (251 nucleotides) under uncultured bacterium. RNAcentral's name for it is "partial 16S ribosomal RNA". It matches the Rfam family "Bacterial small subunit ribosomal RNA", at positions 525 to 775 of the family's 1533-position model. The record is from RNAcentral.
ACGUAGGGAGCGAGCGUUGUCCGGAAUUACUGGGUGUAAAGGGAGCGUAGGCGUGAUGGUAAGUUAGGUGUGAAAACUAUGGGCUCAACCCAUAGAUUUCACUUAAAACUGCUGUUCUUGAGGGACGUAGAGGUAAGCGGAAUUCCUAGUGUAGCGGGGAAAUGCGUAGAUAUUAGGAGGAACAUCGGUGGCGAAGGCGGCUUACUGGGCUUUUACUGACGCUGAAGCUCGAAAGCGUGGGGAGCAAACAG